Molecule: ribosomal RNA, 394 nt
Filed under: uncultured bacterium
Lineage: Bacteria
Description: bacterial SSU rRNA
Rfam family: Bacterial small subunit ribosomal RNA
Source: RNAcentral
GACGAACGCUGGCGGCGUGCUUAACACAUGCAAGUCGAGCGGUAAGGCCCUUUCGGGGGUACACGAGCGGCGAACGGGUGAGUAACACGUGGGUGACCUGCCCUCAGCUCUGGGAUAAGCCUGGGAAACCGGGUCUAAUACCGGAUAUGACUCCAUGACGCAUGUUGUGGGGUGGAAAGCCUUGUGCGGCUGAGGAUGGGCCCGCGGCCUAUCAGCUUGUUGGUGGGGUGAUGGCCUACCAAGGCGACGACGGGUAGCCGGCCUGAGAGGGCGACCGGCCACACUGGGACUGAGACACGGCCCAGACUCCUACGGGAGGCAGCAGGUGGGGAAUCUUGCGCAAUGGGCGAAAGCCUGACGCAGCGACGCCGCGUGAGGGAUGACGGCCUGGUGU